Long non-coding RNA from Neltuma alba, 561 nucleotides. RefSeq lists it as uncharacterized. The record is from RefSeq and is a predicted model, not a curated record. The transcript is spliced from 2 exons. Lineage: Eukaryota; Viridiplantae; Streptophyta; Magnoliopsida; Fabales; Fabaceae.
UCCAAAGCACCCCGUCAAUCAUGUCAACCCCUUCUAUCAGUGGCUCAUGUUUGCUGAAAUUUAGUAAAUUCAGGGACUGAACAUUAGGAUUCAAGUCCCCCAAAUUAGAAUCUGACAGCUUCCCUUAUUGCCAAAAUUUAGGGGGUAAAUAAGAAAACGCAAAAACAAAUGAAAAAGAUCAGCGUUUCAAUGAAGGAGGAAAAAUUACUACAGAAUUACAUAACUAAAAAUUUUCGCACACGAGGAAGAGAUUCUUAACGCUGCCUCGAGGAUAAAAGACAUCUCAAAUUCUCGAGUACCAAGAAAAACACUGUAAAAACAAAUCAGUUGGUUGAAAAUUUAAAACUGAACAAUACAAGGAGCGCUUGUUCUCUCAAUCUUAUUUUCUUAUCAUUUUCCUUUGUGCACCAAGCUUCGCGAAUGAAUAACGCCCGUGCUUCUUGCCAAUGCUAGCUAUCUGGCCUUCUCUUUACGCCACAUGACCUCAACUUCUUUCCCAAACAUUGAAAACUGGGAAUGUUUCAAGAACUGCAAUAAUAAAACUCUCAAAUUACACCUUGA